GAUGAACGCUAGCGGCAGGCCUAACACAUGCAAGUCGAGGGAGAGGUUACCUUCGGGUAACCAAAACCGGCGCACGGGUGCGUAACGCGUAUACAAUCUGCCUUUCACAUAGGGAUAGCCCGAAGAAAUUUGGAUUAAUACCUAAUGGUAUAUAGGAGCGGCAUCGUUUUUAUAUUAAAGCUACGGUGGUGAAAGAUGAGUAUGCGUUCUAUUAGCUAGUUGGAGAGGUAACGGCUCCCCAAGGCGACGAUAGAUAGGGGUUCUGAGAGGGAUGUCCCCCACACUGGUACUGAGAUACGGACCAGACUCCUACGGGAGGCAGCAGUGAGGAAUAUUGGACAAUGGUCGGAAGACUGAUCCAGCCAUGCCGCGUGCAGGAUGAAGGUCCUAUGGAUUGUAAACUGCUUUUGUAAGGGAAGAAUAAGGAGUACGUGUACUUUGAUGACGGUACCUUACGAAUAAGCAUCGGCUAACUCCGUGCCAGCAGCCGCGGUAAUACGGAGGAUGCGAGCGUUAUCCGGAAUCAUUGGGUUUAAAGGGUCCGUAGGCGGGCUGAUAAGUCAGAGGUGAAAGCGCUUAGCUCAACUAAGCAACUGCCUUUGAAACUGUCAGUCUUGAAUGAUUGUGAAGUAGUUGGAAUGUGUAGUGUAGCGGUGAAAUGCUUAGAUAUUACACAGAACACCGAUAGCGAAGGCAUAUUACUAACAAUUUAUUGACGCUGAUGGACGAAAGCGUGGGGAGCGAACAGG
RNAcentral lists this ribosomal RNA (749 nucleotides) under uncultured Capnocytophaga sp. Its description in RNAcentral is "bacterial SSU rRNA". It matches the Rfam family "Bacterial small subunit ribosomal RNA", at positions 28 to 776 of the family's 1533-position model. Lineage: Bacteria; Pseudomonadati; Bacteroidota; Flavobacteriia; Flavobacteriales; Flavobacteriaceae. The record is from RNAcentral.